This 301-nucleotide ribosomal RNA is filed under the name uncultured bacterium. Its description in RNAcentral is "partial 16S ribosomal RNA". It matches the Rfam family "Bacterial small subunit ribosomal RNA", at positions 509 to 807 of the family's 1533-position model. The record is from RNAcentral.
CAGUAGCCGCGGUAAUACGAAGGGGGCUAGCGUUGUUCGGAAUUACUGGGCGUAAAGCGUGCGUAGGCGGUUUGUUAAGUCUGCUGUGAAAUCCCCGGGCUCAACCUGGGAAUGGCAGUGGAUACUGGCAAGCUAGAGUGUGUCAGAGGAUGGUGGAAUUCCCGGUGUAGCGGUGAAAUGCGUAGAGAUCGGGAGGAACAUCAGUGGCGAAGGCGGCCACCUGGGACAACACUGACGCUGAGGCACGAAAGCGUGGGGAGCAAACAGGAUUAGAGACCCCAGUAGUCCCUGUCUCUUAUAC